This 1243-nucleotide ribosomal RNA is filed under the name metagenome. RNAcentral's name for it is "bacterial LSU rRNA". It matches the Rfam family "Bacterial large subunit ribosomal RNA", at positions 1564 to 2816 of the family's 2925-position model. The record is from RNAcentral.
UGAAUACGAGACGCUAAGGCGUCGAAGUAGUGUAUGUCAUACUUCCAAGAAAAGCUUGCACUGUCAUAGAUAAAAAACGCCUGUACCAUAACCGACACAGGUGGGUAGGUAGAGUAUACUAAGGGGCGCGAGAUAACUCUCUCUAAGGAACUCGGCAAAAUAACUCCGUAACUUCGGGAGAAGGAGUGCCUUAUUCGUAAGGUUGCAAUAACAAGAUCCAAGCAACUGUUUAUCAAAAACACAGGUCUCCGCUAAGUCGUAAGACGAUGUAUGGGGGCUGACGCCUGCCCAGUGCCAGAAGGUUAAAGAAGUUGGUUAGCAAUUGCGAAGCUGAUAACUGAAGCCCUGGUGAACGGCGGCCGUAACGAUAACGGUCCUAAGGUAGCGAAAUUCCUUGUCGGGUAAGUUCCGACCCGCACGAAAGGCGUAAUGAUUUGGAUACUGUCUCGGAGAGGGGCUCGGUGAAAUAGACUUGUCUGUGAAGAUGCGGACUACCUGCACCAGGACAGAAAGACCCUAUGAAGCUUUACUGUAACUUGAAAUUGAAAUUGGACUUUAUUCGCGCAGUAUAGGUGGGAGGCGUUGAUUAUAAUCUUGUGGGAUUAUUGGAGCCACCAGUGAGAUACCACUCUUGUAAUGUUAGAUUUCUAACUUUGAAUCAUUAUCUGGUCAAAGAACAGUUUCAGGCGGGCAGUUUGACUGGGGCGGUCGCCUCCUAAACGGUAACGGAGGCGUACAAAGGUUUCCUCUGAACGGUUAGAAAUCGUAUCUAGAGUGUAAAGGCAUAAGGAAGCUUGACUGUGAGACCUACAAGUCGAGCAGGGACGAAAGUCGGUCUUAGUGAUCUGACGGUACUGAGUGGAAAGGCCGUCACUCAACGGAUAAAAGUUACUCUAAGGAUAACAGGCUGAUCUCCCCCAAGAGUUCACAUCGACGGGGAGGUUUGGCACCUCGAUGUCGGCUCAUCGCAUCCUGGGGCGGUAGUACGUCCCAAGGGUUGGGCUGUUCGCCCAUGAAAGCGGUACGCGAGCUGGGUUCAGAACGUCGUGAGACAGUUCGGUCCAUAUCCGGUGUAGGCGUUAGAAUAUUGAGAGGAGCCUUCUUUAGUACGAGAGGACCGAGAAGGACAUACCUCUGGUGUACCAGUUAUCGUGCCAACGGUAAACGCUGGGUAGCUAUGUAUGGAGUGGAUAACCGCUGAAAGCAUCUAAGUGGGAAGCCCACCUCAAGAUAAGUAUUCUCA